CCGUGAGAAGUGGCAGUAGAGACAAAGAUGGCAGCUCAUCGGUUCACCACAAGUCUCGAUAAAAAUAACGAGGUUUGCAACGAAAGAAGCUAUGGAAAGUUUUUGAUGAAUCAAAUGUUGUUUAAGGUUCGUAGUCAGAGAUCAGGAAUGAAAAUCCGAACUCAGCAUUUGAUCAUAAGGGUUAUUGUAUUGCAAAAUCGAGAUGAUUCAAGCGAAAUGAGGAGAAAACAAUUUCCUGGUCAAAUCUACAUCAUACUCAGAGCAUGCGGUAAAUAAGAAAGUUGAGAAAGCCCCAAGAGUGACAGGCCAAAGAUUCAUGCAGCAAUCAAAGAGUGGAAGUAAUGAUAAACGGAUAACUAGUCAAUGGGAAAUAGUAGGACACAUCCACGGGGUAUUGGCAACCUUUAGCGCAUCAUCUGUGGCUGGCGGUUUGCUGUGUAGUCUUACUGUGGCGCCAAGUUUAUUUGUGGGAAACGGAAAUUUGCUAUUCUACCACUUGGUAUUUUGCAAGUAUGACAAAAUGGCAGUCAUCAGAGACUACUAUCAAAAGUAGCCGUUGUCACAAGUCUUACAGAGGAUAAUGCAGUGAAUACUCAAAGCUAUAACGCCGACAUCUACCGGAUGUUUCAAUCCGAAAGAGAGGAAGGUAUAGAGUUUUGACGCCUUCUCUUGUGUUUGUUCGAUAAGUUGACAUCAUUAGGCAUGUAGUUAAAGAUAAUGGUUGUUUUAGCAGUGAAUAAGCGAGAAUAAAAAAAGGACAAAUUGUUAUUAAGUAGAGCCCUAUAUAGGAUAAUUGUCACUUGGAAAUUGCGGCGUAUUAGUACAGUUUAUGAGGGCCGAAAGGGGGAAGAAAAAUUGGUUAUAUUCGAUUAAAUAGAAAGGAAAGUGUCAUGUUUCUUAUUUUACUGUAUUGCUAAUGAAAAAAAUCUUAUUGUUAUUGCCGGUGUUAUUAUUAACACCGGCAGUGUUCCGGAUGUAAAUGUUUCCUUUAGAAAAAAAAAUGUUAGUUUUAAAUGUCUUGAAUGUCGCACAAUGGAUGGUUUAAUUAAAGAUCUUUAAAAUCA
Molecule: long non-coding RNA, 1064 nt
Organism: Nematostella vectensis (starlet sea anemone)
Lineage: Eukaryota; Metazoa; Cnidaria; Anthozoa; Actiniaria; Edwardsiidae
Exons: 4
Source: RefSeq, a predicted model, not a curated record